AGAGUUUGAUCAUGGCUCAGGACGAACGCUGGCGGCGUGCCUAAUACAUGCAAGUCGAGCGAAUUGAUGGGAGCUUGCUCCCUGAGAUUAGCGGCGGACGGGUGAGUAACACGUGGGCAACCUGCCUAUAAGACUGGGAUAACUUCGGGAAACCGGAGCUAAUACCGGAUACGUUCUGUUCUCGCAUGAGAGAAGAUGGAAAGACGGUUUACGCUGUCACUUAUAGAUGGGCCCGCGGCGCAUUAGCUAGUUGGUGAGGUAAUGGCUCACCAAGGCGACGAUGCGUAGCCGACCUGAGAGGGUGAUCGGCCACACUGGGACUGAGACACGGCCCAGACUCCUACGGGAGGCAGCAGUAGGGAAUCUUCCGCAAUGGACGAAAGUCUGACGGAGCAACGCCGCGUGAACGAAGAAGGCCUUCGGGUCGUAAAGUUCUGUUGUUAGGGAAGAACAAGUACCAGAGUAACUGCUGGUACCUUGACGGUACCUAACCAGAAAGCCACGGCUAACUACGUACCAGCAGCCGCGAUAAUACGUAGGUGGCAAGCGUUGUCCGGAAUUAUUGGGCGUAAAGCGCGAGCAGGUGGUUCCUUAAGUCUGAUGUGAAAGCCCACGGCUCAACCG
Molecule: ribosomal RNA, 624 nt
Filed under: uncultured marine bacterium
Lineage: Bacteria
Description: bacterial SSU rRNA
Rfam family: Bacterial small subunit ribosomal RNA
Source: RNAcentral